This 74-nucleotide transfer RNA is filed under the name Ovis aries (sheep). It matches the Rfam family "tRNA". From Rfam's summary of the family: Transfer RNA (tRNA) molecules are approximately 80 nucleotides in length. The record is from Rfam by way of RNAcentral. Lineage: Eukaryota; Metazoa; Chordata; Mammalia; Artiodactyla; Bovidae.
UCCCUAGUGGUCCAGUGGUUUAAGACUCCACACUUUCAAUGCAGGGGGUGCAGGUUCGACUCCUGGUCAGGGAA